AGCUAGUCGGUGAGGUAAAGGCUCACCAAGGCGACGAUCUGUAGCGGGUCUGAGAGGAUGAUCCGCCACACUGGAACUGAGACACGGUCCAGACUCCUACGGGAGGCAGCAGUGGGGAAUUUUGGACAAUGGGGGCAACCCUGAUCCAGCCAUGCCGCGUGAGUGAAGAAGGCCUUCGGGUUGUAAAGCUCUUUCGGCCGGGAAGAAAUCGUAUGGGUUAAUACCCUGUGCGGAUGACGGUACCGGCAUAAGAAGCACCGGCUAACUACGUGCCAGCAGCCGCGGUAAUACGUAGGGUGCGAGCGUUAAUCGGAAUUACUGGGCGUAAAGCGUGCGCAGGCGGUUUUGUAAGACAGGCGUGAAAUCCCCGGGCUCAACCUGGGAACUGCGCUUGUGACUGCAAGGCUAGAGUACGGCAGAGGGGGGUGGAAUUCCACGUGUAGCAGUGAAAUGCGUAGAGAUGUGGAGGAACACCAAUGGCGAAGGCAGCCCCCUGGGUCGAUACUGACGCUCAUGCACGAAAGCGUGGGUAGCAAACAGGAUUAGAUACCCUGGUAGUCCACGCCCUAAACGAUGUCAACUAGGUGUUGGGUGGGUAAAACCAUUUAGUACCGGAGCUAACGCGUGAAGUUGACCGCCUGGGGAGUACGGCCGCAAGGUUAAAACUCAAAGGAAUUGACGGGGACCCGCACAAGCGGUGGAUGAUGUGGAUUAAUACGAUGCAACGCGAAAAACCUUACCUACCCUUGACAUGUCCAGGAGCCUGAAGAGAUUUGGGUGUGCCCGAAAGGGAACUGGAACACAGGUGCUGCAUGGCUGUCGUCAGCUCGUGUCGUGAGAUGUUGGGUUAAGUCCCGCAACGAGCGCAACCCUUGUCGUUAAUUGCCAUCAUUUAGUUGGGCACUUUAACGAGACUGCCGGUGACAAACCGGAGGAAGGUGGGGAUGACGUCAAGUCCUCAUGGCCCUUAUGGGUAGGGCUUCACACGUCAUACAAUGGUCGGUACAAAGGGUCGCCAACCCGCGAGGGGGAGCCAAUCCCAGAAAGCCGAUCGUAGCCCGGAUCGUACUCUGCAACCCGCCUGCGUGAAGUCGGAAUCGCUAGUAAUCGUGGAUCAGCAUGUCACGGUGAAUACGUUCCCGGGUCUUGUACACACCGCCCGUCACACCAUGGGAGCGGGUUCCGCCAGAAGUAGGUAGCCUAACCGCAAGGGGGGCGCUUACCACGGCGGGGUUCGUGACUGGGGUGAAGUCGUAACAAGGUAGCCGUAGGGGAACCUGCGGCUG
Molecule: ribosomal RNA, 1286 nt
Filed under: metagenome
Description: bacterial SSU rRNA
Rfam family: Bacterial small subunit ribosomal RNA
Source: RNAcentral